CAAAAUGUAGCUUAAUAAAAAGCUCCUCGCUUACACCGAGAAAAUGUCUGUGCAAUCGGAUCAUUUUGA
Molecule: transfer RNA, 69 nt
Filed under: Theloderma moloch (black-spotted frog)
Lineage: Eukaryota; Metazoa; Chordata; Amphibia; Anura; Rhacophoridae
Description: tRNA-Val
Rfam family: tRNA
About the family: Transfer RNA (tRNA) molecules are approximately 80 nucleotides in length. Their secondary structure includes four short double-helical elements and three loops (D, anti-codon, and T loops). Further hydrogen bonds mediate the characteristic L-shaped molecular structure. tRNAs have two regions of fundamental functional importance: the anti-codon, which is responsible for specific mRNA codon recognition, and the 3' end, to which the tRNAs corresponding amino acid is attached (by aminoacyl-tRNA synthetases). tRNAs cope with the degeneracy of the genetic code in two manners: having more than one tRNA (with a specific anti-codon) for a particular amino acid; and 'wobble' base-pairing, i.e. permitting non-standard base-pairing at the 3rd anti-codon position.
Source: RNAcentral